This 253-nucleotide ribosomal RNA is filed under the name uncultured bacterium. RNAcentral describes it as "partial 16S ribosomal RNA". It matches the Rfam family "Bacterial small subunit ribosomal RNA", at positions 524 to 776 of the family's 1533-position model. The record is from RNAcentral.
UACGGAGGAUGCGAGCGUUAUCCGGAUUUAUUGGGUUUAAAGGGUGCGUAGGCUGUUAUAUAAGUCAGUGGUGAAAUAUUCGGGCUCAACCGGGAUACUGCCAUUGAUACUGUAUAGCUGGAAUAUGGUUGCUGUGGGUGGAAUGUGUGGUGUAGCGGUGAAAUGCAUAGAUAUCACACAGAAUAUCGAUUGCGAAGGCAACUCACAAAGCCAUUAUUGACGCUGAUGCACGCAUGGGCAGCGUGAGAUGUGU